This is an RNA transcript of Sorghum bicolor (sorghum), 1566 nucleotides long. It is a transcript of the gene named ATP-dependent DNA helicase PIF1, with no coding region annotated. The record is from RefSeq and is a predicted model, not a curated record. The transcript is spliced from 5 exons. Lineage: Eukaryota; Viridiplantae; Streptophyta; Magnoliopsida; Poales; Poaceae.
CCUGCUCCCUCGCUCUUCCGUUCACCGUCGUCGCCACGAACGAGAGGUGCGACUCUGCGAGGACAAGCCGCUCCAACUCGCCUGCUCCAGCGGCGUUCCAUUUUGCCCCACCAUCAGUGGACGCGAGGAGCAAGGCUUGUGAUUGCAAGAACCUAUAAAGGGAUCGACUAGAGAGAAGAUGAAGUUAGGCCAUCCAGCAUUGGCCAACAACGAGAUUAAUACAAUGCAAAAGAGUGGUUCUCGAGCGCCAUUGGGAGACAAGACUAACACCACUAAAAAUGCUGACGCUAAAGACCACAAGAGGGAAAAGGAUAGAGCUCGAUGGCAUGCAAUGUCCCAAGAACAGAAGGAUGAAAAGAAUAAGAGGCGACGCGAGUCAUAUCAUAAUAAAAAAAAUAAGCAUCAAGUUACAGAAGCUACCAAUGGUAAAACCAAACUUGAUAUAAAAAAGUUACCAACGAUGAUUCAACUUAAAUUCUGAUUGCAGUGUAUUUUAUUACAAAAAAUGUGCAAAUGGUUUUGUAGAUGAUGAUGUUGCGUCAAAUAAGGAAAAUAUGGAUCCAGCAGAAACAAAUGAUUGGUUGCAUAGAAAUGAUUUGUACGAUCCCUACAACAUCGUUGAUGGUAGUAAUACUAUCUACACGGAAUGACUGUGUGGAUAUGAUUAACAUGAGGAUGAUAAGUCGUUUUCAAGGGGACGAGAUGGUGUACCAUAGCUUUGACUCUGCCGUUGAUGAUCCAAACAACUACUACCCUCCGGAGUUCCUUAACACUUUGACCCCAAAUGGUCUACCUCCACAUGUGUUAAAGCUAAAGAUUGGUUGCCCGGUUAUAUUGCUUAGAACCAUCGACCCCGCAAACGGACUUUGCAAUGGUACGAGGUUGAUCGUACAUGGGUUCCAAAAGAAUACCAUCGAUGCAAAAAUUGUUUUGGGGCAACAUGCUGGAAAACGUGUUUUCUUGCCUCGCAUACCCUUAUGUCCAUCUGAUGACGAGAUGUUCCCUUUCCAUUUCAAGAGAAAGCGGUUUCCCAUUCGACUUAGCUUCGCCAUGACUGUCAACAAAGCACAAGGACAAACUAUUCCAAAUGUCGGACUGUACUUGCCUGAACCAGUGUUCUCACAUGGUCAGUUGUAUGUAGCGCUAUCUAGAGCCACAGCUAGAUCGAACAUCAGGAUCUUGACUGUUCCACCAGUUGAAAAGGAUAUGAAGAAAGGGAAGAAAAAAAAUCACAAUGAAAAAUGGUACAUACACGAAAAAUAUCGUCUAUAAAGAGGUGUUAACUCCAUUACUAAGGAUGCCAAGGCAAGGUAGAGUAAAGGGGUGCUGCUCGGGGCAGGCAAGCCGAUUACAGGGAGCUGAAAUAUCAAACUUGCGGAGCGAAUAGCUUUUGGCCAUCAGAGAUAUAUUUUUAGAACCCUUUUAGAAGUAGAGAAAGUUCUAGCCACUUUAGAUGUUUCGACUAUUCUUAUCUCAAUUGCGUAUUGUUGUUUGGGAACAUUGUUACUAAACUUGAUGUUUAUGUAUUUGAAUGUGGCUCGAAACAUUAUGUUGCUAAGCUAAGUU